This is a long non-coding RNA of Poeciliopsis prolifica (blackstripe livebearer), 1196 nucleotides long. RefSeq lists it as uncharacterized. NCBI's taxonomy places the organism in Eukaryota, Metazoa, Chordata, Actinopteri, Cyprinodontiformes, Poeciliidae. The transcript is spliced from 2 exons. The record is from RefSeq and is a predicted model, not a curated record.
CAUUUGGAGUCUUUCCUGGCAGAAAAUCAAUGUGAGUUCAUUUUUAAUGCACCAUCAGCAAGUCAUGCUGGUGGUGUUUGGGAGCGUCAGAUACGAACCAUUCAAAAUGUAUUAGCUUUUACUCUAUCACAAAACUUGGGAAAACUUGAUGAUGCUUCAUUAAGAACUUUCUUUUAUGAAGCCAUGGCCAUAAUUAAUAGUCUCCUUUAACACUGAAGGGAAUGAAUGACCCUGGUUCUCUUGAACCUUUAACUCCUAACCAUCUGCUUCAGAUGAAGUCUGAAUCUGCCUUGCCUCCUGUAGGAAAAUUUGUGAGGGAGGAUAUCUAUUCCUCAAAACGUUGGCGCCGUGUGCAGUUUCUGGUUGAGCAGUUUGGAGUCGGUGGAAGAGAGAAUACCUCCAGAAUAUUUCCAUUAGACAAAAAUGGCAUGUAGUUCGGCGCAAUUUAAAAAUAAAUGAUAUUGUAAUAGUAAAAGAGGAUUUUCUCCCAAGAAAUAGGUGGCAGUUGGGUCGUGUUGUUGAAACAAUUGUUGAUAGCGAUGGCUUGGUUCGAAAAGUAAAAUUGAGGACAGGAGAACAAAGAUCAGGUAGGGAUAUUAUUUCUAAGAGUUCAGUAAUAGACUGGUGCAAAAAUUGGUGUUAUUAGAAAAUGAUUUGUAAACUUAAUGUACACAGACGAGCAUGUUUUUAAACAAUCUGCAUGAUUUUUUAAAAAAAAACCUUUUAAAUAAUGCAUAAUUUUAGUAAUGGUUCAUGCAUUAUUGGUGGGAGUGUAACGGAUUGUAAAAUGAAAUGUCUAAAUUAUUUGUAGUUUAUUUAAAUUAAACAAUUUAAAUGAAUUUCUAAUUUAAGACUGUUGCAGAUUGUUUAUGUAUGUUUGUCUGUUUUGGUUUGCAUUGUUGGUGAUUUAUUUGGUUUAAUGGUAUUUUGUAAUGUUUUGGGAUUUUUUUUUGUUUAAUACGUACCUCACGGGCUGCCGUAGAGAAAGAGGGCAGGGCCUAUAAAACUGGGGAAUUGCAGUGAACCAAAUGAACUGUCAAACGUUGGACUAAGAAAUGGCGUUCCCCAGUAAAGGCAGCGAGUUUUCACGGUGAUGGUGAUGAUGAUGGUGAUGAUGAUGGAGGUUUUGAAGUCAAGUGACCUGACGAUGAUCCAGCAAAAUCAUCAAAGGAGAAAUAAAGCCAAUAUCACCUGUC